GAUCAUGGCUCAGAUUGAACGCUGGCGGCAUGCCUUACACAUGCAAGUCGAACGGCAGCACGGGAGCAAUCCUGGUGGCGAGUGGCGAACGGGUGAGUAAUAUAUCGGAACGUGCCCAGUCGUGGGGGGAUAACGCAGCGAAAGCUGUGCUAAUACCGCAUACGAUCUACGGAUGAAAGCGGGGGAUCGCAAGACCUCGCGCGAUUGGAGCGGCCGAUAUCAGAUUAGCUAGUUGGUGGGGUAAAAGCCCACCAAGGCGACGAUCUGUAGCUGGUCUGAGAGGACGAUCAGACACACUGGAACUGAGACACGGUCCAGACUCCUACGGGAGGCAGCAGUGGGGAAUUUUCCGCAAUGGGCGAAAGCCUGACGGAGCAAUACCGCGUGAGGGAAGAAUGCCUAUGGGUUGUAAACCUCUUUUUUCAGGGAGGAAUAAAAUGACGUGUACCUGAAGAAUAAGCAUCGGCUAACUCCGUG
Molecule: ribosomal RNA, 477 nt
Filed under: uncultured bacterium
Lineage: Bacteria
Description: bacterial SSU rRNA
Rfam family: Bacterial small subunit ribosomal RNA
Source: RNAcentral